This 792-nucleotide ribosomal RNA is filed under the name uncultured Alphaproteobacteria bacterium. Its description in RNAcentral is "bacterial SSU rRNA". It matches the Rfam family "Bacterial small subunit ribosomal RNA", at positions 581 to 1374 of the family's 1533-position model. Lineage: Bacteria; Pseudomonadati; Pseudomonadota; Alphaproteobacteria. The record is from RNAcentral.
AAAAAAGUUGGUGGUGAAAUCCCAGAGCUUAACUCUGGAACUGCCAUCAAAACUUUUUAGCUAGAGUUUGAUAGAGGAAAGCAGAAUUUCUAGUGUAGAGGUGAAAUUCGUAGAUAUUAGAAAGAAUACCAAUUGCGAAGGCAGCUUUCUGGAUCAUUACUGACACUGAGGAACGAAAGCAUGGGUAGCGAAGAGGAUUAGAUACCCUCGUAGUCCAUGCCGUAAACGAUGUGUGUUAGACGUUGGAAAUUUAUUUUCAGUGUCGCAGCGAAAGCAUUAAACACACCGCCUGGGGAGUACGACCGCAAGGUUAAAACUCAAAUGAAUUGACGGGGACCCGCACAAGUAGUGGAGCAUGUGGUUUAAUUCGAAGAUACGCGCAGAACCUUACCAACACUUGACAUGUUCGUCGCGACUUUAAGAGAUUAAAGUUUUCGGUUCGGCCGGACGAAACACAGGUGCUGCAUGGCUGUCGUCAGCUCGUGUCGUGAGAUGUUGGGUUAAGUCCCGCAACGAGCGCAACCCUCACUUUUAGUUGCCAUCAUUAAGUUGGGCACUCUGAAAGAACUGCCAGUGAUAAGCUGGAGGAAGGUGGGGAUGACGUCAAGUCCUCAUGGCCCUUACGUGUUGGGCUACACACGUGCUACAAUGGCAUUUACAAUAGGAAGCAAGAUGGUGACAUCAAGCAAAUCCUAAAAAGAUGCCUCAGUUCGGAUUGUACUCUGCAACUCGAGUACAUGAAGCUGGAAUUACUAGUAAUCGCGGAUCAGCGCGCCGCGGUGAAUACGUUCC